RNAcentral lists this long non-coding RNA (4682 nucleotides) under Mytilus galloprovincialis (Mediterranean mussel). The record is from RNAcentral. Lineage: Eukaryota; Metazoa; Mollusca; Bivalvia; Mytilida; Mytilidae.
UAACAUGCAAAUACGACAAGGAAAACUGGAGUGAUUGUGAUAACACAACAAACCCAGUGAACCAAGUUAUGACAUAAAGGGAAGGAGAAGAAGAAAAUGCGAACCAACAAUAAUGGUUACCAUUUCAUGAACAAAGUUUGAGCGUAUUCAACAGUGGAAAGCAAGAAAAAUGGAGCGCAAAAAUGAAAAAAAAGAAAAUAAAAUGUUUAUUAAAGAACAGAAAAAUAUUUGCAAAGAAAAUAAAGAGAUAGUAAAAGAACAGCGUAGACGUAGGUAAACAAGUAAACAAAACGAAAUAAACAAAUAUAAAAGAAGAAAAACGAAAAAUGUGAUUCCCAUAACACAAAAUUCCAAGUUACGAAAGCAAAAGUGGAUUCAAGAAUAAAAAAAAAGUAGAUAUGCAAAUGAUGGAAUUUCAAAAUAUAUUUUUAUAAAUUAUGCAAUGAUUUAUUUCUAAGCAGUUCCUGCUAAGGGCCCGAUGUUUGUCAUAAAUUAAGGAGAUGCGGGUUUUAUCUUCGAUUCCAACUUUUUUAAAAUAAAGAAGAUGUGGUAUGAUUGCCAUUGAGACAACUCUCCACAAGAGACUUAAAUGACACGGCAAUUAAAGGGAAAUUCCGCGAUUUUUUACUUAUCAUCUAAUUAUGUUCAUCUUAACAUAAAAAACCAUUUGCAAAGUUUUUUAUAUUCCUUCUAAUAAACGAGAAAAUCAAGUAUUUGAAACUUUUUUGAUUGAAUUCUCGAUUGUUUAGCCCGAUUUAUUGAAUGUGAAAAAUUAAAAUGUUAACUCUAAUUAAGCGCACAGCUGACGAAUGGUCGAAGUUAUUAACCACAAUAUAAGAAUGAACGAAAAUUGAUUGAAUUAAACUCCUAUAAAAUUAUCUCUAGUAAAUGUUUUUGAAUAAAUUUAAUUAAUUAUUGUCGGAUUUUUUUCAUAAAAUAUUUAUGAACAUUUUUACUGAUAUUGAACUGAAAAUAUUUCAUUCUAUUUUACCGUUUUGUUUUGAUAAUCAUUUCAAUGCAACUAAUGUGUGAGCUGGUAUUUUUUGUAAAGGUCACUGUAUAUUUCUCGGCUUGAGGUAAUUCGUUUACUCUGUUUCAGGUGUGAGUUCAAGCGUACACAGGUAAUGUUUGUUAUUUUAUUUUAGAAAGAGUUGCUGUCACGAUGUUAAUACGCUAAGAUUUAAUACAUUGAUGUGUCAAUAAUUUAAAUUGUGUAAUUAAUUGAAAAUAAAAUCAGAUUCGUAUUUUUAUAAAAAUAAAAAUGUUUGAUUACUUUUUAGCGGCAAUGGCGUAAAGAUUCAAAUAUGAAGCAAAAAUAGUAGUUUUAAUCUUUUAUAAAAACUAAAUGCAUAUUUACCCAAAUUUUAUACAUUGUACAUCUGUUUGAUUCAUUGACUUUACGGAAUUUCUUAUUGUAUCAAAUCUGGCUGUUUAAAUGCUAAAUAAAACUAUUGCAAUUUUAAAGUUUUUAAGUUGACAAAAUAAUACAACAUACAACAUGCAUGAUUUUUUUUUUUCUUUUUUUAACUUUUUUUACAUAAUUGAAAUUCAUUUGACAAUCAUUUACACAACUUUUUGUGAAAAGAAUCAAUUAUCUAAGCUAAGGAUUAUUUCUUUGAGGAUUUUUUUUUAAAUUCUAUUUGGGGUUUGGUGAAUGUGAACAUGAUAGCGUCAUUAAUCAAUAAUAAUACAGUGGUAAUAAAGUUAUUUUGCAUGCAUAACUGGAUAUUUGACGAAUUUAUAAUAUCGUCAUAUCGUGUUCUUGAAACAAUCAUUAAGUAUACAUGUACCUUAAGAGCCAUUGAGGAUGAGUCAGACCAGUGGCGUUUGUUUUGUUUAAAUGUGCCGCUUGUACAGAUAAACGACAGAAUACCAUACAAGCAUUUAUAGCAACAUCAUUUAGACGGGGAAAUGAAGGCUUCCAAGACUGACAUGUCUAACUUGACAGUAAAAACUAUCGACAUCGACCGCUUGUUCUUGAUAUUUGAAACUGCAUGCAUAUAUACGUAUACGUUUAUGAUUGUGAUGAGUUCUUGCGACUGACAAAAACUAAAUAUCCUUAUGGUUAUUUGCCAUACGUUUAUAUUGGUUUGUAAGGAUUACUCAAAUUUUUUUUCCUGUUUGUGAGAUGUAGAUUCAUUUCAAUACAGAAAUGUCUAUAUAUUUCACAAGUGUAUAACACGGAGAAGCUCUGAAGGUCAUUACUCCCAUUUUGUUUGGGUGUGAACCAUCGAUGUUUACAGCAAAUCACAGAAUAAUUGAUGGUAGAAAGACUAUGGCGUCAUGUGGCAAAUAUUACAUGCAUAUCGGACAUGAGUUGCAAUCUGUAUGAAAAGAUUUCCCAUAACACCAUAUUAUGAGAAGGAAUGUUUACAUGCUAUCUCUCGUACUAGUAUUACAGGGUUCUUGUGGCGUUCACCUUAGACAAAUCUUUUUAACGAUGUUUAAAAAAGACAGAAAAUUUAAUGUCAUAUUUCCCUAUUUUUUAAUAGAACUAAAAGUCUUUUAUCUGACAAGAAUACCCUAGUUAGCAACAAGUAAUUUAUUCUUUUUUCUGUUAUUGAAUACCAAGAAAAGAAAUAAAAUCCCGCGAAAUUAAUUUGAAACUUUGAUACUCAAAGUUUCCCAGCAAAAUAUCAAUUCCCUGGGAUAAUGGUUUCGUCAGUGGAUAUAUAAAUUGUGAUGACGAAUUACUUCCUUUGUUCGAGAACAAUCUUAUUGAAAUUAAUCUGUGAUUUUACUAGUCCCACAGCUUCAAUGAACCAAAGCAAAAGUUAUACAAUCGACUGUAUUUAAAUCAAAUUGGUUCUCUUCUCUCUGGUAUAUACAAUAGUCUAUCGACAUUCGAUGAUUACAUACUGUUGGCAUACGUGGACUAGUCUAUUUACAACACUUUUACCCCUAUUUAUUCAAAAUAUAUUGUUUUUUCUAUGUUCAUGUAUACAUGUAUAUAUUUAAAAUUGCGCUAUAGUUCGUAACUUUCUAUCCAGUCGUAUAAACGAAUCGUCGGCAAGUGCGACAUUUUUUUAAAUCAAUAUUUCUGGUCUGUUCCAAUCUGCCUUCACUAUUGACAAUGACUAUAUAUUACAUUUUCCCAAAUUCACCCUUGAAAAAAGUAUUUAAAUAGAUUUUAAUUUCAUCAAAUCUUAUUUUUUUGGGUAUUAUUUAUAGUUUAUGAAUUAUAUUCUUUACACCAGAAUGUUAUUAUAAACAAGCGUAUGAGUUUAGUAAUGACAAGUAAGACAGAGUUGUAUAUUAUUCAUCUGAUAGUUCAAAAUGGAAAGUUUAAGUUAUAAGUUAUCCGUGUACACUGAUCAAUACUUUGCAGAAGUGAAACAGCAUGAACUUGUAAGCCCGACAGGAAAUCGUUGAAUACCUGGACGUGUCACUCACACCCCUACAAUACUUUGGAAGUAAUACUUUAGCCAUGCUGGUGAUCAGAUGAGGGAAGAAUCAAAUAUAUUUGUUUGUUACUUUAAAGAAUUAUGAACAAAUUAGAUUUUCGAAAACAAUUUUCACGGAACACUUAUUUAUGAUUUCAACUUUGACUUUUCACCUAAUUCCAAUAUCAACAGUUUAAAAACAACAAACCAUGGUAAUUUAAAAAAAGUAAGAAUAUUUUCGUAUCAAGUUAGUUAGUCGGAUAAAACAACCGUACGAUUGACAGAUAUCGACCGCAAUUACGACUACAUCGGUUAUAGUUUUGUUCUUUGUGGUUUAUAGACAUAUCGUUUUUAUUAAUCGGAAAAAAGACAAAUGGCGGAUCGCAGAGAAUUGAUACUCUAAAUUUAAAUCGAUGGUGAUCGCUAUCUAGCGGAAUAAAACUUAAAUAUCUAUGAAUUUGAUCAUUUUUAUACAGAAUGAACAUAAUAUCAAUUUUUGAUUUUUUUGCGAAGUUUCCCUUUAACAACUAUAGGUCACCAUAUGGCCUUCAACAAAAAGCAAAGCCCCUACCACAAGGUCAGCUAUAAAAGCAUAGUUUUCAACAAUACGCAGUAUUUAAAAAAAAAAAUGUCAAGCAAUUAGUUAUCACGCAGUUUGAAAAACUGGUUUUAUUUUUUUCAUGUUUGUUUUUUAUUCUACAGUAAAAAUAUUGUUUCAUAAUUUAUCUUAAAUAUUAUGCAAUCUAGCUUUUUUUUUUGAAAGGAAACAUAGAUUUUCCGUUGCUUAAUAACAUAAGUACAUCUUAUCAAAAUUGUACAACAGAUUAUGAUUUUUUCUGAUUAUUUCGAUUAACAACAUCAUCUCUUAAUUUUUUAGGUUCAAUGCAUACAUGAAAAGACUCUAUGUAUUCAAAGACAGGCCUUUGCAUGCUUUUGUAUUAUAUUUUAUGAAUAUAAGAGUAUAUUGACAUAUCUGUGUUCAGACGGAUGCAGUUUUGAUGUUAUUUUCAGUGAAUGUGAUCCUAAAACUAAAAUGUUUACAAAAUCUUACAUACUAACAACAGAUGACGAUGAUUCGUGUGAAAACAGAUCAUUUGAAUAUUCAUGUGAUUUCCAUGAAAGACUAAUUGAAAAGACGAGAAAACGUCAAGACAAAAGAGCUAACAGAAAAAUCUUACAUACUAACAACAGAUGACGAUGAUUCGUGUGAAAACAGAUCAUUUGAAUAUUCAUGUGAUUUCCAUGAAAGACUAAUUGAAAAGACGAGAAAACGUCAAGACAAAAGAGCUAACAGAAAAA